UUAAGCGAAUAAGCGUACACGGUGGAUGCCUAGGCAAUCAGAGGCGAUGAAGGACGUGCUAAUCUGCGAAAAGCGUCGGUAAGGUGAUAUGAACCGUUAUACCCGACGAUAUCCGAAUGGGGAAACCCAGUAUCCAAUGGAUACUAUCAUUAACUGAAUCCAUAGGUUAAUGAGGCGAACCGGGAGAACUGAAACAUCUCAGUACCCCGAGGAAAAGAAAUCAACCGAGAUUCCCCUAGUAGCGGCGAGCGAACGGGGAGCAGCCCAGAGUCUUAAUCAAUAGCAGUGUCAGGAGAACGGUCUGGAAAGUCCGGCAGUAAAGGGUGAUAGCCCCGUAUCUGAAGAUGCUGUUAUUGUGAACUCGAUGAGUAGGGCGGGACACGUGUUAUCCUGUCUGAAUAUGGGGGGACCAUCCUCCAAGGCUAAAUACUCCUGAUUGACCGAUAGUGAACCAGUACCGUGAGGGAAAGGCGAAAAGAACCCCGGCGAGGGGAGUGAAAAAGAACCUGAAACCGUGUACGUACAAGCAGUAGGAGCCUCUUUAUGGGGUGACUGCGUACCUUUUGUAUAAUGGGUCAGCGACUUAUAUUCUGUAGCAAGGUUAACCGUAUAGGGGAGCCGUAGGGAAACCGAGUCUUAACUGGGCGAAUGAGUUGCAGGGUAUAGACCCGAAACCCGGUGAUCUAUCCAUGGGCAGGUUGAAGGUUGGGUAACACUAACUGGAGGACCGAACCGACUAAUGUUGAAAAAUUAGCGGAUGACUUGUGGAUAGGGGUGAAAGGCCAAUCAAACCGGGAGAUAGCUGGUUCUCCCCGAAAGCUAUUUAGGUAGCGCCUCGUGAACUCAUCUUCGGGGGUAGAGCACUGUUUCGACUAGGGGGUCAUCCCGACUUACCAACUCGAUGCAAACUGCGAAUACCGAAGAAUGUUAUCACGGGAGACACACGGCGGGUGCUAACGUCCGUCGUGAAGAGGGAAACAACCCAGACCGCCAGCUAAGGUCCCAAAGUCAUGGUUAAGUGGGAAACGAAGUGGGAAGGCUCAGACAGCCAGGAUGUUGGCUUAGAAGCAGCCAUCAUUUAAAGAAAGCGUAAUAGCUCACUGGUCGAGUCGGCCCGCGCGGAAGAUGUAACGGGGCUAAACCAUGCACCGAAGCUGCGGCAGCGACACAAAGUGUUGUUGGGUAGGGGAGCGUUCUGUAAGCCUGCGAAGGUGUACUGUGAGGUAUGCUGGAGGUAUCAGAAGUGCGAAUGCUGACAUAAGUAACGAUAAUGCGGGUGAAAAACCCGCACGCCGGAAGACCAAGGGUUCCUGUCCAACGUUAAUCGGGGCAGGGUGAGUCGACCCCUAAGGCGAGGCUGAAAAGCGUAGUCGAUGGGAAACGGGUUAAUAUUCCCGUACUGGUGGUAACUGCGAUGGGGGAACGGAGAAGGCUAGGUUGUCCGGGCGACGGUCGUCCCGGUUCAAGCAGGUAGGCAGAGUGAUUAGGCAAAUCCGGUCACUUAAUGCUGAGAUGUGAUGACGAACCACUAAGGUGGUGAAGCAAUUGAUGCCCCGCUUCCAGGAAAAGCCUCUAAGCUUCAGGUUACCAACAAUCGUACCCCAAACCGACACAGGUGGUCAGGUAGAGAAUACUCAGGCGCUUGAGAGAACUCGGGUGAAGGAACUAGGCAAAAUGGUGCCGUAACUUCGGGAGAAGGCACGCUGGCGGUAGGUAAAGUCCCUCGCGGACGGCGCUGAAGCCAGUCGAAGAUACCAGCUGGCUGCAACUGUUUAUUAAAAACACAGCACUGUGCAAACACGAAAGUGGACGUAUACGGUGUGACGCCUGCCCGGUGCUGGAAGGUUAAUUGAUGGGGUUAGCCGUAAGGCGAAGCUCCUGAUCGAAGCCCCAGUAAACGGCGGCCGUAACUAUAACGGUCCUAAGGUAGCGAAAUUCCUUGUCGGGUAAGUUCCGACCUGCACGAAUGGCGUAAUGAUGGCCAGGCUGUCUCCACCCGAGACUCAGUGAAAUUGAACUCGCUGUGAAGAUGCAGUGUACCCGCGGCAAGACGGAAAGACCCCGUGAACCUUUACUAUAGCUUGACACUGAACAUUGAGCCUUGAUGUGUAGGAUAGGUGGGAGGCUUUGAAGUGUGGACGCCAGUCUGCAUGGAGCCAACCUUGAAAUACCACCCUUUAACGUUUGAUGUUCUAACCUAGGCCCAUAAACUGGGUCGGGGACCGUGUCUGGUGGGUAGUUUGACUGGGGCGGUCUCCUCCUAAAGAGUAACGGAGGAGCACGAAGGUUGGCUAAGCAUGGUCGGACAUCAUGCGGUUAGUGCAAAGGCAUAAGCCAGCUUGACUGCGAGAGUGACGGCUCGAGCAGGUACGAAAGUAGGUCUUAGUGAUCCGGUGGUUCUGAAUGGAAGGGCCAUCGCUCAACGGAUAAAAGGUACUCCGGGGAUAACAGGCUGAUACCGCCCAAGAGUUCAUAUCGACGGCGGUGUUUGGCACCUCGAUGUCGGCUCAUCACAUCCUGGGGCUGAAGUAGGUCCCAAGGGUAUGGCUGUUCGCCAUUUAAAGUGGUACGCGAGCUGGGUUUAGAACGUCGUGAGACAGUUCGGUCCCUAUCUGCCGUGGGCGUUGGAAGAUUGAGAGGGGUUGCUCCUAGUACGAGAGGACCGGAGUGAACGCACCACUGGUGUUCGGGUUGUCAUGCCAAUGGCAUUGCCCGGUAGCUAAGUGCGGAAGAGAUAACCGCUGAAAGCAUCUAAGCGGGAAACUUGCCUCGAGAUGAGUCUUCCCUGUCGCUUUAAGCGACCUAAAGGAACGUUUAAGACUAAGACGUUGAUAGGCUGGGUGUGUAAGCGUAGCGAUACGUUGAGCUAACCAGUACUAAUGAACCGUGAGGCUUAACCUG
RNAcentral lists this ribosomal RNA (2901 nucleotides) under Proteus mirabilis. RNAcentral describes it as "bacterial LSU rRNA". It matches the Rfam family "Bacterial large subunit ribosomal RNA". Lineage: Bacteria; Pseudomonadati; Pseudomonadota; Gammaproteobacteria; Enterobacterales; Morganellaceae. The record is from RNAcentral.